RNAcentral lists this ribosomal RNA (141 nucleotides) under uncultured bacterium. Its description in RNAcentral is "partial 16S rRNA". It matches the Rfam family "Bacterial small subunit ribosomal RNA", at positions 355 to 511 of the family's 1533-position model. The record is from RNAcentral.
UGGGGAAUUUUCCGCAAUGGGCGAAAGCCCGACGGAGCAAUGCCGCGUGGAGGUGGAAGGCCUACGGGUCGUCAACUUCUUUUCUCGGAGAAGAAACAAUGACGGUAUCUGAGGAAUAAGCAUCGGCUAACUCUGUGCCAG